ACUAAGCGUACACGGUGGAUGCCCUGGCAGUCAGAGGCGAUGAAGGACGUGCUAAUCUGCGAUAAGCGUCGGUAAGGUGAUAUGAACCGUUAUAACCGGCGAUUUCCGAAUGGGGAAACCCAGUGUGUUUCGACACACUAUCAUUAACUGAAUCCAUAGGUUAAUGAGGCGAACCGGGGGAACUGAAACAUCUAAGUACCCCGAGGAAAAGAAAUCAACCGAGAUUCCCCCAGUAGCGGCGAGCGAACGGGGAGCAGCCCAGAGCCUGAAUCAGUGUGUGUGUUAGUGGAAGCGUCUGGAAAGGCGCGCGAUACAGGGUGACAGCCCCGUACACAAAAAUGCACAUACUGUGAGCUCGAUGAGUAGGGCGGGACACGUGGUAUCCUGUCUGAAUAUGGGGGGACCAUCCUCCAAGGCUAAAUACUCCUGACUGACCGAUAGUGAACCAGUACCGUGAGGGAAAGGCGAAAAGAACCCCGGCGAGGGGAGUGAAAAAGAACCUGAAACCGUGUACGUACAAGCAGUGGGAGCACGCUUAGGCGUGUGACUGCGUACCUUUUGUAUAAUGGGUCAGCGACUUAUAUUCUGUAGCAAGGUUAACCGAAUAGGGGAGCCGAAGGGAAACCGAGUCUUAACUGGGCGUUAAGUUGCAGGGUAUAGACCCGAAACCCGGUGAUCUAGCCAUGGGCAGGUUGAAGGUUGGGUAACACUAACUGGAGGACCGAACCGACUAAUGUUGAAAAAUUAGCGGAUGACUUGUGGCUGGGGGUGAAAGGCCAAUCAAACCGGGAGAUAGCUGGUUCUCCCCGAAAGCUAUUUAGGUAGCGCCUCGUGAAUUCAUCUCCGGGGGUAGAGCACUGUUUCGGCAAGGGGGUCAUCCCGACUUACCAACCCGAUGCAAACUGCGAAUACCGGAGAAUGUUAUCACGGGAGACACACGGCGGGUGCUAACGUCCGUCGUGAAGAGGGAAACAACCCAGACCGCCAGCUAAGGUCCCAAAGUCAUGGUUAAGUGGGAAACGAUGUGGGAAGGCCCAGACAGCCAGGAUGUUGGCUUAGAAGCAGCCAUCAUUUAAAGAAAGCGUAAUAGCUCACUGGUCGAGUCGGCCUGCGCGGAAGAUGUAACGGGGCUAAACCAUGCACCGAAGCUGCGGCAGCGACGCUUAUGCGUUGUUGGGUAGGGGAGCGUUCUGUAAGCCUGCGAAGGUGUGCUGUGAGGCAUGCUGGAGGUAUCAGAAGUGCGAAUGCUGACAUAAGUAACGAUAAAGCGGGUGAAAAGCCCGCUCGCCGGAAGACCAAGGGUUCCUGUCCAACGUUAAUCGGGGCAGGGUGAGUCGACCCCUAAGGCGAGGCCGAAAGGCGUAGUCGAUGGGAAACAGGUUAAUAUUCCUGUACUUGGUGUUACUGCGAAGGGGGGACGGAGAAGGCUAUGUUGGCCGGGCGACGGUUGUCCCGGUUUAAGCGUGUAGGCUGGUUUUCCAGGCAAAUCCGGAAAAUCAAGGCUGAGGCGUGAUGACGAGGCACUACGGUGCUGAAGCAACAAAUGCCCUGCUUCCAGGAAAAGCCUCUAAGCAUCAGGUAACAUCAAAUCGUACCCCAAACCGACACAGGUGGUCAGGUAGAGAAUACCAAGGCGCUUGAGAGAACUCGGGUGAAGGAACUAGGCAAAAUGGUGCCGUAACUUCGGGAGAAGGCACGCUGAUAUGUAGGUGAGGUCCCUCGCGGAUGGAGCUGAAAUCAGUCGAAGAUACCAGCUGGCUGCAACUGUUUAUUAAAAACACAGCACUGUGCAAACACGAAAGUGGACGUAUACGGUGUGACGCCUGCCCGGUGCCGGAAGGUUAAUUGAUGGGGUUAGCGCAAGCGAAGCUCUUGAUCGAAGCCCCGGUAAACGGCGGCCGUAACUAUAACGGUCCUAAGGUAGCGAAAUUCCUUGUCGGGUAAGUUCCGACCUGCACGAAUGGCGUAAUGAUGGCCAGGCUGUCUCCACCCGAGACUCAGUGAAAUUGAACUCGCUGUGAAGAUGCAGUGUACCCGCGGCAAGACGGAAAGACCCCGUGAACCUUUACUAUAGCUUGACACUGAACAUUGAGCCUUGAUGUGUAGGAUAGGUGGGAGGCUUUGAAGUGUGGACGCCAGUCUGCAUGGAGCCGACCUUGAAAUACCACCCUUUAAUGUUUGAUGUUCUAACGUUGACCCGUAAUCCGGGUUGCGGACAGUGUCUGGUGGGUAGUUUGACUGGGGCGGUCUCCUCCUAAAGAGUAACGGAGGAGCACGAAGGUUGGCUAAUCCUGGUCGGACAUCAGGAGGUUAGUGCAAUGGCAUAAGCCAGCUUGACUGCGAGCGUGACGGCGCGAGCAGGUGCGAAAGCAGGUCAUAGUGAUCCGGUGGUUCUGAAUGGAAGGGCCAUCGCUCAACGGAUAAAAGGUACUCCGGGGAUAACAGGCUGAUACCGCCCAAGAGUUCAUAUCGACGGCGGUGUUUGGCACCUCGAUGUCGGCUCAUCACAUCCUGGGGCUGAAGUAGGUCCCAAGGGUAUGGCUGUUCGCCAUUUAAAGUGGUACGCGAGCUGGGUUUAGAACGUCGUGAGACAGUUCGGUCCCUAUCUGCCGUGGGCGCUGGAGAACUGAGGGGGGCUGCUCCUAGUACGAGAGGACCGGAGUGGACGCAUCACUGGUGUUCGGGUUGUCAUGCCAAUGGCACUGCCCGGUAGCUAAAUGCGGAAGAGAUAAGUGCUGAAAGCAUCUAAGCACGAAACUUGCCCCGAGAUGAGUUCUCCCUGACCCUUUAAGGGUCCUGAAGGAACGUUGAAGACGACGACGUUGAUAGGCCGGGUGUGUAAGCGCAGCGAUGCGUUGAGCUAACCGGUACUAAUGAACCGUGAGGCUUAACC
RNAcentral lists this ribosomal RNA (2893 nucleotides) under Escherichia coli. RNAcentral's name for it is "bacterial LSU rRNA". It matches the Rfam family "Bacterial large subunit ribosomal RNA". The record is from RNAcentral. Lineage: Bacteria; Pseudomonadati; Pseudomonadota; Gammaproteobacteria; Enterobacterales; Enterobacteriaceae.